UUACGGCCAUAUCAUGUUAAAACACCGGUUCUCAUACAAUCACAGAAGCUAAGCAACAUCGAGCCUGGUCAGUAUCUAGAUGAGUGACCACUUGGGAAUACCUGGUGCUGCACG
Acanthosepion pharaonis is the source of this 114-nucleotide non-coding RNA. NCBI's taxonomy places the organism in Eukaryota, Metazoa, Mollusca, Cephalopoda, Sepiida, Sepiidae. The record is from the annotation of a GenBank genome assembly.